Molecule: unclassified non-coding RNA, 284 nt
Filed under: uncultured fungus
Lineage: Eukaryota; Fungi
Description: sequence contains ITS2
Rfam family: 5.8S ribosomal RNA (bases 1-52)
Source: RNAcentral
AACGCAUCUUGCGCCCUGUGGUAUUCCACAGGGCACGCCUGUUUGAGUGUCACGUUAAUCUAUCACCCUUGGACUGUUCACGCAGUUCAUGUCGGUGGAUUUGGGUGUUGCCGUCAUUGGCUCGCCUUGAAAUGCAUUAGCGUUUGGCUCUCGUGUGGGGUCGUUGCGGUGUGAUAGUUUUUUGCAUCGUUGAUCUUAUGCUGGCUGAAGCUUAUAGUCGUCCUUCACGGGACAAUUAUUUGAACCUUGACCUCAAAUCAGGUGGGACUACCCGCUGAACUUAA